GAUGAAGAACGCAGUGAAAUGCGAUAAGUAAUGUGAAUUGCAGAAUUCAGUGAAUCAUCGAAUCUUUGAACGCACCUUGCACCCUUUGGACUGCUCCAAAGGGUAUGCUCGUUUGAGUGUCAUUGUACUCUCACACUCUCUGAUCCUUUGGAUUUGGGGAGCGGUGGACUUGGGUGCUUGCUGCUUCCUUGUGGCUCACCUGAAAUGCAUCAGUGCAUCUCUCGAUUGGACAUAGCACGGCGUGAUAAGUGUCUUCGCCGGCACCUCAUAUGAGGGUGGCCGAUCGGGAGCUCUGUGCUUUCAAACCGUCUUCGGACAACGCUGACAACUUGACCUCAAAUCGAGUAGGACUACCCGCUGAACUUAAGCAUAUCAAUAAGCGGAGGA
This 387-nucleotide unclassified non-coding RNA is filed under the name soil metagenome. Its description in RNAcentral is "partial contains 5.8S ribosomal RNA, internal transcribed spacer 2, and large subunit ribosomal RNA". The stretch from base 1 to 122 matches the Rfam family "5.8S ribosomal RNA", at positions 35 to 154 of the family's 154-position model. The record is from RNAcentral.